Long non-coding RNA from Gavialis gangeticus (Gharial), 314 nucleotides. RefSeq lists it as uncharacterized. The record is from RefSeq and is a predicted model, not a curated record. Lineage: Eukaryota; Metazoa; Chordata; Crocodylia; Gavialidae. The transcript has 3 exons.
UAUAGGGCAAGAUUGUGAGUGGCUCUAAAGCCAACAGAUUAGCAUAAGAUAAGGCAUAAAGAAGCAUGUAUGUCAGGUGACCAGCAUGAAGGAUGGGACAGAAGGACCAUCUCUGUACCAAGCCUGGACCCCAGGCUCCCAGUGUGAGUGAGGACCAUAUCCUGAGCAAGGGACCUUCCCAGUGACCCCUCAGACAGCGUUGAUCGGGGACACCAGACUUCACUGGAACAACUUGGCGUGCACCUGGCAUAGAGGGACUGCCGAUAAGUUGCCAGCCCCAUGUGAGAACUCUUUAAAAUCAAUGUGUCUGUGAU